CGGAACGGGCGAUUAGGCAAUUUGCCCAUUUAUCAAAAACACGCGGAUCCUCCCUGGGUCAUCAGGGCAACGCGUGAAUCCUCCUUGGAAUGACGCCGUUUUAAAGCUUAUUAUUUUAAGCAAACGACGUCGUUUUUGUUGGAUUAUAUAAGCUAAAACUUAGGCCUAAAAUUCAUUUAGCAAUCAGUCCUAAAAAAAAAUUUUAGAAUCCUCUGAAAGAGGAGGAAAAGGGGCUCUCCGGCCCCGGCCUCAGGCCUCCGGCCACUGGACUGCGAAUGCCCACGCACUGUACGCGCCGCCGUGUACGGCGGUGGAAAGGCUGAAAGCCCUCCUUCCUCUUGGCCAAACGCAGGUAAUCUCUUCUUUCUUAUUGUUAACACUAUUUACAUGCAAAAAAGAAAGGAAUAGAGCAAAUAAAUCACCUCUGUUUUUUUGUAUGAAAACUACCUAUUUUUUAUUUCUGUAAAUAUAUGCGUAUAUCUCUUUUGUAUAUCUUUUGUUUGUGGUCGUCUGAAAAAAAAUCCGUAAAACAAAAGCCCCCCUUUUCUGUUUACAUCGUUUGAUUUUUUAUAACCGAUUUAAAAAAUAGAAACAAAUCAACAAAUUCCUCUUGCCAUAUUUGCUGUUUCUUUCUUUCCUUUUGCAGGUUAACGGCGCGAAUCACGGCGACGGUGAAGGAAUUGAUAGCGGCUCGAUACGAGGUCUGCGGAUACUUGCGGCGCUGAAAGGUGCAGAAAACCUAGGGUUCCUGACCUAGGGUUAAGCAUUUGGGCCUUCGGGAUGCAGCUUAUUGGGUCUUAGGAGUAGGCUAAUCGGGUUGUAACCGGGUACUGGGUUUUGGGUAGUUUAGCUGGGUCAGGGGUAGGAUUAGUCUGCUGGGCUUUGGGUUAAUGUGAUUGGGCCUGUAAAUGGACUGUAAUAAAAUAAACUUUUAUUUAUUUUAUUAUUUUUUUGGGUUUUAUUUAAUUAUGGGCCCGGUCAAAUUUGGGCUAUUACAAUAAUCAUUCUAUAUACUAUCAAUAAAAUAAAAAAAUUACAGAAUAACUUAAGAUAUUGUCGCCUAA
This 1064-nucleotide long non-coding RNA is filed under the name Gossypium barbadense (sea-island cotton). RNAcentral describes it as "long non-coding RNA (GBAR_LNC009688)". The record is from RNAcentral. Lineage: Eukaryota; Viridiplantae; Streptophyta; Magnoliopsida; Malvales; Malvaceae.